ACCACAUGACAGUGUGUUAAAAUUUAAAUUCUGUUAGUGCUGCACUAAAGGAAUCGUUAGUAAUAAGCUGAUGCAGUGAAGGAACUGAACAAUUGUGGGAACGUAUUUGGGCCCAAAAUGGGUGUGGUACAGAAACCCAGAAAUGGCACGAGUUCAACAUGAAACAUGGAUUAGAUUUUAACGGGGGAUCAAAUCAAGUCUGGAAGUGUUACAGAAUGGAAGAGUGAGCCUACAGAUGAAAAAACAAUGAGAGUGCAUUACCGUAAGGUGUGAGGUAAAUUAAUAGAGUAAUGCAAAUUGCCUAAUGAGAAGUACCAUCUUGUGUUAAUGAAUCCAGUACAACAGCAAUCCUUUAUAGUUCUGUCACAGCUAGAAGCCUCAAAUAAUUCUGCUUCUCUGUCUAAAGAACAACUUGUCCUUUACGUUCAGAGUGUUGGGGAAACUGGGUACUUAAAUGGCCCUAAAGAUGUUUUAAUUUUGCUGCUAUUGCAGAGAUGAACAUCAUACAUGGACUCUUUAGGUCUUAUCUACCAAAAAAAUUUUAUCCAAUAGGAAAGGAUUUUCAUGUACUGGGAACACAACUAUCAACAAUGCAACAUUCUACAGGUGCUAGUUUAUCAAUCAAGAGCCUUAUACAAUGAAGUAAUCUGCAAUUUGAAUGUCCUUUCCCAAGCUUC
Molecule: long non-coding RNA, 677 nt
Organism: Daphnia carinata
Lineage: Eukaryota; Metazoa; Arthropoda; Branchiopoda; Diplostraca; Daphniidae
Exons: 3
Source: RefSeq, a predicted model, not a curated record